CGGUCGGUUCGACUAGCUUAAGCCGAACCACAAGUCCAGUUCGUUCUCGUUACCUAGCUUGACUUCAGUGUUGCUUCUAACCAGGUAAACCUCUGGCUCCGGGGCGAACCAUAACUCUUACCUCAUUACCACGAAAGGUGCGCUCUCUCAGCAAUUCGGCCCAGGUCACAUCUGGCACCACCCAGAAUAGACGUGGGGGAAGGGAACCCACUUUGAACUUCAAAGGAGGUGGUAAAAUUUGCUUGGAGUUGCUGUGUUCCCAGAGGCAUUUACCUUGUCCUGCCCAAGAUGAGAUGCUGUCUGAUCGAGGCGAAGCUGUAAUUCCCAUAGUGAUGAGGAUUUUUCCAACUGAAUGCGUCUUGCUCCAACACAGACUAUCUUGUGUAAAUGUGUCACUCUACCAUACAUUUGUUUUUUAAACACUGUUACUCUUCAGUAAACUGUCAUUUGCUUUUUCUUUGCUAAAAAUAUCACCAUACUCUGUCACCCUCUUUAAUCAGUCCAA
Long non-coding RNA from Thunnus maccoyii (southern bluefin tuna), 505 nucleotides. RefSeq lists it as uncharacterized. The record is from RefSeq and is a predicted model, not a curated record. NCBI's taxonomy places the organism in Eukaryota, Metazoa, Chordata, Actinopteri, Scombriformes, Scombridae. The transcript has 3 exons.